This 253-nucleotide ribosomal RNA is filed under the name uncultured bacterium. RNAcentral describes it as "partial 16S ribosomal RNA". It matches the Rfam family "Bacterial small subunit ribosomal RNA", at positions 524 to 776 of the family's 1533-position model. The record is from RNAcentral.
UACGGGGGGGGCAAGCGUUGUUCGGAAUUACUGGGCGUAAAGGGCUCGUAGGCGGCCAACUAAGUCAGACGUGAAAUCCCUCAGCUUAACUGGGGAACUGCGUCUGAUACUGGAUGGCUUGGAUUUGGGAGAGGGAUGCGGAAUUCCAGGUGUAGCGGUGAAAUGCGUAGAUAUCUGGAGGAACACCGGUGGCGAAGGCGGCCUCCUGGACCAAUAUUGACGCUGAGGAGCGAAAGCUAGGGGAGCAAACGGG